Molecule: unclassified non-coding RNA, 402 nt
Filed under: uncultured Cortinarius
Lineage: Eukaryota; Fungi; Basidiomycota; Agaricomycetes; Agaricales; Cortinariaceae
Description: sequence contains ITS2
Rfam family: 5.8S ribosomal RNA (bases 1-154)
Source: RNAcentral
AACUUUUGGCAACGGAUCACUUGGCUCUCGCAUCUAUGAAGAACGCAGCGAAAUGCGAUAAGUAAUGUGAAUUGCAGAACUCAGUGAAUCAUCGAAUCUUUGAACGCACCUUGCGCUCCUUGGUAUUCCGAGGAGCAUGCCUGUUUGAGUGUCAUUAAUAUAUCAACCUUCUCUUUUUGAGUGGUUUGGAUGUGGGGGUUUGCUGGCCUCUUAAAAAGGUCUUGGCUCUCCUGAAAUACAUUAGCAGAACAACCCUGUUCAUUGGUGUGAUAAACUAUCUACGCUAUUGAAUGUGAAGGGCAGUUUGGCUUUCUAACAGUCCUUGGACAAGCUCAUCAUUAAUGUGACCUCAAAUCAGGUAGGACUACCCGCUGAACUUAAGCAUAUCAAUAAGCGGAGGCU